ACCCACUUCACUUUCGGGCAGGGAGAGGGAUUUAAAUGGUAAUCUGUGGAGAUGUUCCCAUUAAUGUCCUAUGUAAGUGUGUUCCCGGUAGCCGGUGUUUGCUCUUCUGUGAAACACUUCACAGGAUAUUUGUGAGCUGGGAGCAUAGAAAGCACAUACGUCUCAGGAUGACCGUGCGAUUUUGUUCCGACUAAAAGCUUCAGGCUGGAAUAGUUUUCCGGUAGCGUUCUCGUGGGGGACAGGAGAAAGCAAACCGACGCGCUUUCAAGACGUUCUCUUGCUAGAUCCGCGCAGCCCUGCCUGCGGUACUGAUCUCUGCUCGGGCUCUUCCUCCAUUGCCCCGGUUUUCCGCGCCCAAUAAAUACCCCAGCAGGGCAGGUGCGGGCGCCAAGACCUGUAUCUUCACAAUUACAACGUUGGGUUGGACCUGAGUGAGAACUUCACGGAGCGGCGCUCUCGGCCCGGCCCUGAGCAGCUGCUGGAGGACGGGGAUUGGUAGCGGUGGCGCUUGCGGCUCGAUGCCUGUCCUCGCUUCUCCAGUGCAUGCUCCUCUGACCAGAGCCGAGCCGUAUUCCAGGGCGGCGGAGCAGCCGGAGAGCGUUCGCUUUGCGCCAAGCGACGGCUGCCACCUGCACCGUUACCAAGAGGGAAGAAACAGAGAACUGGAUCAGGGAAAGCCACAUGCACUGCCAGGAGCACCCUCCAGUGUGGGCUUCCCACGGAGCCACAGUCUCCUUUGGACAUCCCCUCCUCUGAUGUGGGGUCGUCCACAGGCUGCAGACAUGUGGCACCUCUCUACCAUUUAUUUCCUGCCAGUAUCUUCUCCCUAAUAGACACUGGUGUGUAUUGCAUAUUGUCUGGGAGAGAAAAGUAAGUACCAUGGAAAGUGAUGAGAAACAGCUGGGAUCAGCAUUAGAAGACAUCCUAAAAAAAAAAAAUCAAAUCUCAAGUACUAUCAGUGAAUUUUCCUGGGUAAUUUGCUUAUCAACC
Molecule: long non-coding RNA, 990 nt
Filed under: Melopsittacus undulatus (budgerigar)
Lineage: Eukaryota; Metazoa; Chordata; Aves; Psittaciformes; Psittaculidae
Description: lncRNA (ENSMUNG00000017459.1)
Source: RNAcentral